RNAcentral lists this ribosomal RNA (460 nucleotides) under uncultured bacterium. RNAcentral describes it as "partial 16S ribosomal RNA". It matches the Rfam family "Bacterial small subunit ribosomal RNA", at positions 338 to 795 of the family's 1533-position model. The record is from RNAcentral.
CCUACGGGAGGCAGCAGUGAGGAAUAUUGGUCAAUGGACGAGAGUCUGAACCAGCCAAGUAGCGUGAAGGAUGACUGCCCUAUGGGUUGUAAACUUCUUUUAUAUGGGAAUAAAAUGUUCCACGUGUGGGCUUUUGUAUGUACCCUAUGAAUAAGGAUCGGCUAACUCCGUGCCAGCAGCCGCGGUAAUACGGAGGAUCCGAGCGUUAUCCGGAUUUAUUGGGUUUAAAGGGAGCGUAGGUGGAUUGUUAAGUCAGUUGUGAAAGUUUGCGGCUCAACCGUAAAAUGGCAGUUGAAACUGGCAGUCUUGAGUACAGUAGAGGUGGGCGGAAGUCGUGGUGUAGCGGUGAAAUGCUUAGAUAUCACGAAGAACUCCGAUUGCGAAGGCAGCUCACUGGACUGCAACUGACACUGAGGCUCGAAAGUGUGGGUAUCAAACAGGAUUAGAUACCCUUGUAGUC